RNAcentral lists this ribosomal RNA (253 nucleotides) under uncultured bacterium. RNAcentral's name for it is "partial 16S ribosomal RNA". It matches the Rfam family "Bacterial small subunit ribosomal RNA", at positions 524 to 776 of the family's 1533-position model. The record is from RNAcentral.
UACGUAGGGGGCAAGCGUUGUCCGGAUUUAUUGGGCGUAAAGAGCGUGUAGGCGGCCUGACAAGUCUGCUGUGAAAACUCGAGGCUCAACCUCGAGAUGUCGGCGGAAACUGUCUGGCUAGAGUCCGGAAGAGGAGAGUGGAAUUCCUGGUGUAGCGGUGAAAUGCGCAGAUAUCAGGAAGAACACCUAUGGCGAAGGCAGCUCUCUGGGACGGUACUGACGCUGAGACGCGAAAGCCAGGGGAGCAAACGGG